AUCGAUUUAAUCGUAUAAAAUUCUGGGUAGGAUUAUGAUAAUGACAUAGUCUACCUAUAUUUCUUGACCAAAUUACGUGCCAGCAGUCGCGGUAAUACGUAGAAGAUAAGUGUUAUUCAUCUUUAACAGGUUUAAAGGGUACCUAGACAGCAAAUAAAGCCUUUUAUUUAAGAGGGACUAGUUUGCUAGAGUUACUUGUGAGGGGGCAUAAAAGUACUGUCGGUGUAGAGAUAAAAUUCUUUAAUACCCUUUUUUUCUCGAAAAUUAAUGGCACAAAUUUAGGCAAAAGCAUCCCCUUAUGUGAUAACUGACGUUGAAGGACGAAGGCUUCAUGUAGCGAACAGGAUUAGAUACCCCAAUAGUCGAAGCAGAAAAUGAUGAGUGUCAUAGAUUAGAUCUAUAUUUAUUCUAUAAAUUAAAGUGUAAGCAUUCCACCUCAAGAGUAAUUUGGCAACAUUGGAACUGAAAUCAUUAGACCGUUUCUGAAACCAGUAGUGAAGUAUGUUGUUCAAUUAGAUAACACACAAAAAA
RNAcentral lists this ribosomal RNA (531 nucleotides) under Lecidea sp. RNAcentral's name for it is "SSU rRNA". It matches the Rfam family "Bacterial small subunit ribosomal RNA", at positions 412 to 968 of the family's 1533-position model. The record is from RNAcentral. Lineage: Eukaryota; Fungi; Ascomycota; Lecanoromycetes; Lecideales; Lecideaceae.